AUGCAUAAUAUAGGAAAGCAGUCAAGAGUAAUUAAGAUUACAGUCAUCCGUACAAGAAUUUAGAAUUGAAGUAUCAUAGUCCUCCUAUAAAAUGCUAGGAAUUUAAAACUUGAAAUAUAACAAGAGUCUUCAAAAUAACUUGAGUUCAAAUGACAUAAAGCCUAAAGAACUAAGCUGCAGCAUCUUUAUUUCCUUCCAAAGCUAUUUCCAAGGAAACCUCAUUCUCCUUUGCUCACAUCCAAAUGGAUGAUCAUUGCAAAAGAAAACACAUACAACAGACAAAGCAACAACAAGCAAGGGUGAGCUGAUUAUAUAAAAAGCAUGCGAUUAUAUUAGCAUAUGCACAUCAGAUUUAAUCUUAAGUCAAGUAUAAGCAAGCAAGACAAUAUAAGACACAAAACCUAGCAUGUUAUCUUCUAGACUUGACUCGUUCAGACUUUAGAAUGAUAGUUGAGCUAUGACGGGUCAUGCACCCGUGGUGGCUUAUGAUACUUAGGCUCCCCCGCCUUGGGCUCCCCCGCCCUAGGUUCCCCCGCCCUGCCACACUCACGAGGUUAGUCUAUUCCGUGCCUUGGAGCAUGAUGGAAGCCUCCAAGACUAAGACAUCCUGCUACUCCUCACCACAUGGUUCAAUCCUCUCUACAUGAGAAGAAAGACCAUUGGAGCGUAAGGAAGACCCCCAAGACUGAGCUCCUACUUUGAUUCUAAAACACUAAGACUCUCACCGAGAGAUUCUACACCGAUGGAACUUAGUUUACCACUUGGAUCGUACUUUUAUCACUUUGUGAUCAUAUACUUUUUGCCACAAUCAACAUAUACACAAUCUCAACAAUAUACAUUACUCACCAAUCACAAAACUUAUAACACAACCUCAAUACUUUUCUUACAUAGUCUCAGUACUAUACAUUGACUCAUCAAACACAAGGUUUUACUUCAACAAAUAAAAUAUUACAACUUCAUAUACAACGUCUUAUAAAAAUACUACAACAAAUAAAUCACCCCAAAAACAUAUAAAAUUACUAUGACAAAAUAUUACCCCAACACAUAAAAAUAUUAAGCUUUUAUACUUUAUUUUACAUACAUAAUAAUUUCUCAAUCACUCAUAUUAAAUUAUGAAAAUCAAUCGUGACAUCUCUUAACUUAUUUUACUAACAAACUACAAGUAUACUAAAAAUUAAUCUCAUAUCAAACUUAAUAGUUAAAUAUAUAUAUAUAUAUAUAUAUAUAUAUAUAUAUAUAUAUAUAAAAUAAUAAAUAUAACUUAAUCUUGUUAAGUUUCCAUACGUAUAUAUUAUUAUAUAAUAUAUGUAAUAUAAUUAUUUAUAUAGAAGUUAUAUAUUAUAUAAUAUACAAAAGUCUAUAAAAGAUAUAUUAAUGUUAAGUUUCUAUACAUUCAUAUAAAAGUCAUAUAUAUACAUAUUAUUAUAUAAUAUACAAAGGUAAGUAAAAGAUAUAUAUUAAUAUAUUUUAUACAAAGAUCACAAAACGGAAUGAAUAUAGUAUAAUAUAUUAUUUAUAUCAAUCUUGAUAUUAAAAGGAAACCUAAUAAAUCCAAAAAAUCAUCAUCCUAUUUCCUUCUCUGCAACCCAAUUUCUCUCACAUCUUAUAUAAUCAAUUCAACAAUAUCACAUUCAAUUUCAGUUAGCAACUCAAUUCAAAACAGAUAAAAUUUAUCACUAUGCCAAUUCACAUAUUUAUACUAUUCAUCAGUUUCACAGUCUCAGUUUGGGCAUUCAGUAAAAUUAAAAAUUGCAGGGCAGUUUUACAAACACAUUAGUUCAACAUUCAACAUGUAGUUAUUUUAUAAAAUAAAUUUCUAAAAAAAGUAAUCAACUCUCCUUACAUGGAAAUUUCACAGCUCUAUAGUUCUACAGUACCUCGGGUCACACCGAACUUGGACCGCACCCUACAGAUCACAAAACUGUGAUUAAGAAUAGUUCUUAGAACUACCGUUGAACAGAGAUUGGAAGGACAGAAACGAAAGACACAUGCAUCAACAAAACUGUUGCAUGCUCAAAACCCUAGAAGCCUAAGGAAAGGGGGAAACGACUUACUGGCGAAAUAAUGAGAACCCAAUCGGUUCAAGUCGAAGCUCUCGACUCCGGGAAUGCAGGGACGCCACCUAAACGAAAAUGCACCGGUUCAGUUUGAAGAUUCGGUAGAGAGAAGGCAGAGAAAUAAGGGCUUAAGUGGUUCUAGAGAGAGAGUUAUCA
Molecule: long non-coding RNA, 2213 nt
Filed under: Vigna radiata
Lineage: Eukaryota; Viridiplantae; Streptophyta; Magnoliopsida; Fabales; Fabaceae
Description: long non-coding RNA (VRAD_LNC007360)
Source: RNAcentral